RNAcentral lists this ribosomal RNA (253 nucleotides) under uncultured bacterium. RNAcentral's name for it is "partial 16S ribosomal RNA". It matches the Rfam family "Bacterial small subunit ribosomal RNA", at positions 524 to 776 of the family's 1533-position model. The record is from RNAcentral.
UACAGAGGUCCCAAGCGUUGUUCGGAUUCAUUGGGCGUAAAGGGUGCGUAGGUGGCGCCGUAAGUCGGGUGUGAAAUUUCGGAGCUUAACUCCGAAACUGCAUUCGAUACUGUGGUGCUCGAGGACUGGAGAGGUGACUGGAAUUCAUGGUGUAGCAGUGAAAUGCGUAGAGAUCAUGAGGAAGACCAGUGGCGAAGGCGGGUCUCUGGACAGUUCCUGACACUGAGGCACGAAGGCCAGGGGAGCAAACGGG